GCCGGGGUAGCCAAGCCAGGUAAGGCGCACGCCUUGAGAGCGUGUGGCCCGUUGGGCCUCGUGGGUUCAAAUCCCACCCCCGGCGCCA
This 88-nucleotide transfer RNA is filed under the name Hadesarchaea archaeon. RNAcentral describes it as "tRNA-Ser". It matches the Rfam family "tRNA". From Rfam's summary of the family: Transfer RNA (tRNA) molecules are approximately 80 nucleotides in length. Their secondary structure includes four short double-helical elements and three loops (D, anti-codon, and T loops). RNAcentral also lists the same sequence under 1 other name. The record is from RNAcentral. Lineage: Archaea; Methanobacteriati; Hadarchaeota (SeqCode); Hadarchaeia (SeqCode).